Solenopsis invicta (red fire ant) is the source of this 2806-nucleotide long non-coding RNA. RefSeq lists it as uncharacterized. The record is from RefSeq and is a predicted model, not a curated record. The transcript has 4 exons. Lineage: Eukaryota; Metazoa; Arthropoda; Insecta; Hymenoptera; Formicidae.
ACACUAAUGGACACUGUGUUACACAGUGUCGAUUUGUGUCGUAGCUGGAAAGCACUGGAUGCGACUGUCGAUAGUUGUUUUUCUAAAUAUACCAAUUCGCUGUAAAUUCCUAUAUUAUUUAAAAUAUUUGCAAUCAAAUUAUCAAACUCAUUUUCAUGCUCCAAAGCAAUUCUCUAUAUUUGUGGUAAUUUAUGUGAUAAUUUGUGACAAAGGUGCUGACGCAUUCUGGAUGCGAAUUCUAUCUGGUUUCGUUAGGGAUUUGUGGCAUAAGGCCAUUUUUUUCCUUGAGUCAUUCAUGUGCUUGGUGUACAUUACGAAAAUACUUUUGAAUUUUAAUAAUCUUCUGCAGUAUGGUCUGAGGCGUUACAUCUUUUUCUACCAAAUUUAAGAGACGUGUCGAGCAUCCAUACCCCAAGCAGAACAAGUCAAAAUGACAUCAAAGUGAUUCACAAUUGUGUCAAAAUGACAUCAAAAUGAAUCGUAAUUAAUUGAAAAAUGACUUUUAAUGAUCAUUUUGCAGUCACUUUGACAUCAUUUUGACGUCUUGAUGACUUCCUGUUCUGCUUGGGUACGCAAUCAACUUUGGUUGUUUUUCUUUUAAAAUUUGCCACAUUUUAAACAUUUUAUUUUUAUUAUCCGUAACUACGGCAAAAACCUUUGCGUCGUACUUUCUUUCACAUUCUUUUAUAGUAGCUUCCACAACCUCAGCACAUCUUUUCUUCUCUGAUCCAGAAUUGUAAGCAUUAAAAAGAAAACUUUUAUUACCCAUAUGCAAACUUAUUGCCUGGAUGGGAUCAUUUCGAACAUUUGACCAGCUAUCUAACACAUAUUUUGGUAUUGGAUGAUAAAUGUUGCAAAGACUUCUGAAAUUGAUGCGCAAAUAGAGUGCAAUAAAGUAUCUCUAUACAUCUCUAUAUAUCUAAAAAAAUAAGUGACCUAAAUAGGAAAGAUACAACUGGCAAGAAAGAAGCCAAUGUGUCCAAGCAAAAAGAUAUGAAAAAUAGCAAGGCUGCCAAAGUUGUCAAAGAAUCUGUAGAAUCUGCAAAAAAUAAUAAAGAUACAGAAAUAUAAUGUACAAAAAGUGUAAAUAUAGAAGGUAAUAUCACACAUGUAUGUAUACUCGCUCAGACAGGCACAUACACGCACGCACACACACACACGCACACACACGAAGAAGAGCCCGCCACGAAUGCGUAAGCUAAUAGAAAGAGACAGGAAACGAGAUGAUCCCCACCAUCCUUGUUCAAUCGCGCAUGCGCUGUUGAUUUUCUUAGUCAAGUGGAGAGGAUUUGAGGCAAAGUACACCAUACCCACUCAGCACCACUCAGCUCGAUGCACGUGCACAACAUUAAACAAGGACAGUGAGGAUUAUCUCAUUUUCUUUCUCUUACUAUUAGCUAAACGCUUCCACUUACAGGAGCACUGUGCCUAUUACACACCUUGUCUUCUUUGCUCGACGCUGGGUCGAGAGAGGACACGAAUUGACGUGCUGAAGAAACUCGGUGUUCCUUGCUAUGCGCCUAUACGGGUGGUAUACGGGAUACCACGGUUGGUCGCGCGCUGUUUUAAUUUUUAAUUGCAUAAAGAAAUCGGAUAUGAAGAUUCGUUUGAAAAAUAAUGUAAAUAGAAUUACGAUUUUUAAUAAUAAAUUAAAAUUAUGUCACCACGGCAAUAUAGCUUCAAUUCAUGGGACUGUUACUUUAUGUCGAGACAUAAUUUUAAUUAAUUAAUAAAACUUGUAAAUCUCUUUAAACAAUUACUUAUUAAAAUAAUCUGUAUUAGAAAAUAAUUUUAAUUUACGAUUAAUUUGCAAAACACGUACGUGCGCGGCUUCGCGUGUGCGGCAGUCGAGCGCCAGCGCGGAGGGACACUAUUUUUGCCGAUGCGUGUACAUACAUGAAAUGUACAUGACGAGAAGGUCGGGUAGUACCAGACAGCGGGUAGUAUCGGAUAAAGUUAUUCCAACCAUUUGCCUCUGAAGUAGAACCAUAGUAGAACCAUAGUAGAACAGUACCAUAGUAGAACAAACGGCAGUAGUGUUGACAAGUUACAAUAAAUUUUGUAUUGUAUAUAGCUGUUUUCAAUGAAGAUAAUUUCUGGCUGUUGUGACUUGUCUGAAAGUAAGUGUAAAUAAGUUUUUAGUUUAUUGUUAGAAACAACAUUUAUUAGCUUUUAAGUUGUAGGCUAUAAAUCUUGUUAUGCUUACUAAUAUGCAAGUGACAGCCGAUUUUUUGUUACGUGCUGUUUGGGUUGUAUCGGACUGAUGAAUUGCUGAUUGUAUUGGACAAUCUUUACUGUGAUAAAACUUAAAUUCUCACAUUUUUUGUAUUACAGGGCAAUAUGAGCAAAUUACGUCAUAUAGUAUAUGGGACGAAAAGAAUAUGAAGGAAGCCAUAGAAAAAGUUAGAAUUAAAAAAAUAACUAUUAGAAAAAAAAUGUUAAAAAAAUAUUAAAAAUGUUAAAAUAUUAAACUUUUAAAGACUGUUUAUUUUAUUUGUUGUUACGUUAAGAAAAUUCAUUUUUAUUUAUUAACUUAUGUUAUUUAUAUAAUAAUAUAAAAUAAUAAUAUUAAUGUGGGGCUGUAGCUUUCCACGAUAAUACCGAUAAUAUCGAUGCCGCGACAGUGGAAAAAGAGGACGCUCUAGAGAACGACGUGACACAAACAGGACGAACAAAGAGAUAAAAUAUAGCAGUUAGAAAAGAUAACUUAACAAAGAGACACGACACACAUCUACACAUUACACAGGAUAAACGUGUAUUGUACACUGUUUUUUUUAAAUAAAUAUUUUAAUCUCAAACAACCAAA